AGCCCGGGCCCCUCCCCUG
This 19-nucleotide microRNA is filed under the name Bos taurus (domestic cattle). RNAcentral's name for it is "bta-miR-2882". Lineage: Eukaryota; Metazoa; Chordata; Mammalia; Artiodactyla; Bovidae. The record is from miRBase by way of RNAcentral.